This 289-nucleotide long non-coding RNA is filed under the name Trifolium pratense (red clover). RNAcentral's name for it is "long non-coding RNA (TPRA_LNC001815)". Lineage: Eukaryota; Viridiplantae; Streptophyta; Magnoliopsida; Fabales; Fabaceae. The record is from RNAcentral.
UUAGUGCAAUAAGUAGUGUCAACAAAGCCGAAAGAAUAGUAGCAUAUAGUAUAUAUAUUUAUCCAACUACAACACCUUUGCAUGUUUAUAGGCUUGCUCAACCAAGAAGCAAAUAAAACUUUGGCUUUAGUUGGUCGGACUUUACUUACCUCGUAGUCGAAUUUUGGAUUACUGAGACUCCUUUUCUCUAGGACCUAAGAUCUGGAUAAUAAGAUUGUUGUGGAUAGUUGGUUUCAGAUUGUUAGUGGUUGAAUCUCAAUGUUAAGGAGAUGAUGGUAUAUGCACACAC